RNAcentral lists this ribosomal RNA (252 nucleotides) under uncultured bacterium. RNAcentral's name for it is "partial 16S ribosomal RNA". It matches the Rfam family "Bacterial small subunit ribosomal RNA", at positions 524 to 776 of the family's 1533-position model. The record is from RNAcentral.
UACGUAGGGGGCAAGCGUUGUCCGGAAUUAUUGGGCGUAAAGCGCGCGCAGGCGGUUGAUUAAGUCUGAUGUAUAACUCUGAGGCUCAACCUUGGAUCGCAUUGGAAACUGAUGAACUGGAGUGUAGGAGAGGAAAGUGGAAUUCCACGUGUAGCGGUGAAAUGCGUAGAGAUGUGGAGGAACACCAGUGGCGAAGGCGACUUUCUGGCCUAUAACUGACGCUGAGGCGCGAAAGCGUGGGGAGCAAACAGG